RNAcentral lists this transfer RNA (65 nucleotides) under Loxodonta africana (African savanna elephant). It matches the Rfam family "tRNA". From Rfam's summary of the family: Transfer RNA (tRNA) molecules are approximately 80 nucleotides in length. Their secondary structure includes four short double-helical elements and three loops (D, anti-codon, and T loops). Lineage: Eukaryota; Metazoa; Chordata; Mammalia; Proboscidea; Elephantidae. The record is from Rfam by way of RNAcentral.
GCAGUGGUGUUUCAGAAUUCCCGUCUGCCAUGCAGGGGACAUAGGUUUGAUUCCUAACCAUUGCA